RNAcentral lists this ribosomal RNA (332 nucleotides) under uncultured eukaryote. Its description in RNAcentral is "partial 18S ribosomal RNA". It matches the Rfam family "Eukaryotic small subunit ribosomal RNA", at positions 1470 to 1796 of the family's 1831-position model. The record is from RNAcentral.
CCCUUAGAUGUUCUGGGCUGCACCCGUGCUACACUGGCAGGUUCAGCGAGCUUCAUGCCCUGAUCUGAAAGGAAUGGGAAAUCUUUUCAAAACCUGCCGUGCUUGGGAUAGAUGUUUGCAAUUAUUCAUCUUCAACGAGGAUUGCCUUGUAAGCGCACGUCAUCAGCGUGCAUUGAAUACGACCCUGUAUUCUGUAUACACCGCCCGUCGCUCCUACCGAUUGAAGUUUUCGGUGAGUUGACAGGAGGAUUUUUUUGAAACUGGUUCGCCAGUGGAUUUUAGAUCCAAAUGCCAACGAAUCGAUGGCUUUAGAGGAAGGAGAAGUCGUAACA